Molecule: non-coding RNA, 337 nt
Organism: Salvia hispanica
Lineage: Eukaryota; Viridiplantae; Streptophyta; Magnoliopsida; Lamiales; Lamiaceae
Source: RefSeq, a predicted model, not a curated record
UUAGAAGGGUAUAAUGGUCAAUUUGGGGAACUUUCCAAGCCCAUAAAUACCCCAAUUAUCAUAUUUCUGUAUUACAGCGAGCCCUAACCCUAGAAUUCGACCAUGUCUAGCAAGCAAGGAGGCAAAGCUAAGCCCCUGAAGCAGCCUAAGGCUGAGAAGAAGGAAUACGACGAGACGGACAUGGCUAACAUUCAAAAGAAGAAGGAAGAAGAGAAGGCUCUUAAGGAGCUAAGGGCAAAGGCUCAGCAGAAAGGAUCAUUUGGAGGUUCUGGCUUGAAGAAAAGUGGCAAGAAAUGAGACCUGAUUUUUGUGUUGAAUUGGAUUGGUACCUUUCGAA